Molecule: long non-coding RNA, 988 nt
Filed under: Capra hircus (goat)
Lineage: Eukaryota; Metazoa; Chordata; Mammalia; Artiodactyla; Bovidae
Description: lncRNA (ENSCHIG00000001783.1)
Source: RNAcentral
AGCACCAUUAUUAAUACAAUAACAUGAAGAUAAAAGUUGUCUUCAUUUUGUAGUUGGGAUAACUGAUGAUAUCUCAGAUAACUGGUAGGUUAAGACCAUAUGGCUAGUGGGAAGUAGGUCCAGGUUUUCAACUCCAAUAAUAAGGCUUCAGGACCUGAAUCCUUAAGUGAACCAGAAAUAAAUAGGACUUGUAUUUUAUAGGAAUCAAUAAAGACUUUAUUGGAAUAAGUAAAAACAGGUUGCUUUUGGGAGCAUAGAAAUAUGGGUGUUUUCAGACUGAGGUGACCAGAGAUGCUUUCUGGAGAGGAUGGGAUUUGAAGCAGGCUUUUGAAAAUGGCCACUGCCCCUGAAUUGUGACAUCAGACAAAAUACUAAGAUGAUCUCCCGAGCAUCUUCUCAAAUGUCAUUUAAAAAGUCCUUCAUACCUAUCCUCUUGAGUAGGAAGCUCUAAUUAAAUUUGCAGAAUGUUUUGCAGGAACAUCUGAGAGUGAAAUAUGAAUAGUCCUACCUUCCAGAAGGUUUUCUGUGAGGAGCCUCAGAGUGUGAAGAGAUUUCACUACAGAGAGAAGACACGAUUCCAGAUCCUGUUAUCCUUAACUAUUUCGAUUUGUUGAUGUGCGUAUGUUCUCAGUCAUGGCUGAAUCUUUGUGACCCCACAGAAUAUAGCCCACCAGACUCCUUCCACAGGAUUCUCCAGAUGCACAGAAUUGUAUCGACAGCCAACUUAUAGCAGCAUGAGGAACCUUGCUACAGAUGAUGGGAAUCUGUCAAAAGAUUGUAAUCAAGGGAAUGGACACAAAUCUGCAGUUGCUUUACCAGUUCCUUUUAUAUUCAACCUCUUGUUCAUUGACAAAGCCAACAGAGAUAAGGCUGAGAUCAGACAUGGCCUUCUUCAUCAUUGCUUCACUGUAGGCCAGACAAGAUUUAAUUUUGGAGAAAGCCAUUGCAUUACCGGUGAAUUUUGAGGGAGCAGUACAUCAUUUCUAAA